UACGGAGGAUCCAAGCGUUAUCCGGAAUCAUUGGGUUUAAAGGGUCCGUAGGCGGUUUAAUAAGUCAGUGGUGAAAGCCCAUCGCUCAACGGUGGAACGGCCAUUGAUACUGUUAAACUUGAAUUAUUAAGAAGUAACUAGAAUAUGUAGUGUAGCGGUGAAAUGCUUAGAGAUUACAUGGAAUACCAAUUGCGAAGGCAGGUUACUACUAAUGGAUUGACGCUGAUGGACGAAAGCGUGGGUAGCGAACAGG
Molecule: ribosomal RNA, 253 nt
Filed under: uncultured bacterium
Lineage: Bacteria
Description: partial 16S ribosomal RNA
Rfam family: Bacterial small subunit ribosomal RNA
Source: RNAcentral